CACAGUCUUAGCAACUCAGGAUCACAUGAUCUGAACAGCUAAAACACAGGCUAGUUUUGAUUCUUAAAUAUGCUAAUUUAUUUGUUGGUGUUGAAUUUUACUAUAAAAUAUUUGCUGUUUAUUAUACUUUUGGAUUGACUGGUUUAAAGGGGUUUAAAUCUAUUUAAUUAUUUCACAAUGUAUUUAUCUUGUUAAUUUCAGAACGUAAUGGACGUGUUUCUGUUUCUUUUGGGGUUUUCACCUAUGUGCCUGAAAGGCUAAAUCACUAUGGUGACCAUCAUACAAAAAUAAAGAUGAAUCAGCUAAAUUGAAGGCUCUUUGAAUGAAAUCCUGUUCAAAGUUUCACUGCAGAGACUAUCCCUAUCAAGUUGGGAAUCGUACAGUAAAGCAAACCUGACAAAACUUGACAGUAUCCAUAACAACAGUCAGGUGCCGUUUACAUGACAACAAGUUGUCUGGAUCGAAAACCAGCUCUGUGCUUUGGUGAGAAGAAACUAGAGUUGAGAUUUUUGGCAACCAAAAGAAACACAGAAUGAAUGUGUUGUAAAACACAACAUAACUACUGUGAAAUCUUUGAUUGUUUUCAGUCGGAUAGCAACACAAAAACAUGACAUGAUUAGAUUAGCAGACACCAAAUCAAGCUUCUUCCACCUCAACCUCCUGGACUAAACCCAUAGAAAACCUGUGGAAUGAGCUGAAGGGACGAGAGCUUCAGAGAGAAGCCAAGGACAAAGUGGACAAAGAAUAGAGAAAGAUCUACAUCUUCCAAUGUUUGGAUCUGUUUUCUUCACAAAAAGGACACUGCAUAAAAUGUUGACAGCAUUGGUAUCAUUAGAGACUACACGUUUAUUUCUUUAAAAAUGGUUUAUUAAGUUUCCCAAAGGAUUUUUUUGUUGUUGCUCAAAUCAGUUUGAAAUCAUGACAUAGUGAUAAAUGAAUUUAAGUAAAAGGUCUUUAACAUUAUUCUUCCAGAAAUGCUAAUAGAUGUGUUUCUAUCCUCUUACUCCAUCUUACAAGAUUUUGUCUCUUUGUUGGUGUUUUGUCCGUCUUUGGUUCUUCUGCAACUGGUUCCGGACCUUGAAGGUUAGCUUGUUCAAGAAGUGCAUCGAUCUUUGAUUGUUUGGUUUCCUAAUGCCGUCUCUGAGGUUUAAGGCAGUUUUCCCUGAGUGUGUCUCAGUGUGUUAUUUUAGAAAUGUUUAGGAGUGUAUACGUGCACUCCCAGACAUGUCCAACUGUUCAUCAAAUGU
This is a long non-coding RNA of Poecilia reticulata (guppy), 1247 nucleotides long. RefSeq lists it as uncharacterized. The record is from RefSeq and is a predicted model, not a curated record. NCBI's taxonomy places the organism in Eukaryota, Metazoa, Chordata, Actinopteri, Cyprinodontiformes, Poeciliidae.